RNAcentral lists this ribosomal RNA (541 nucleotides) under uncultured archaeon. RNAcentral describes it as "bacterial SSU rRNA". It matches the Rfam family "Archaeal small subunit ribosomal RNA", at positions 457 to 997 of the family's 1478-position model. The record is from RNAcentral.
GCCAGCCGCCGCGGUAACACCGGCGGCCCGAGUGGUGAUCGUGAUUAUUGGGUCUAAAGGGUCCGUAGCCGGUUUGGUCAGUCCUCCGGGAAAUCUGAUAGCUCAACUAUUAGGCUUUCGGGGGAUACUGCCAGACUUGGAACCGGGAGAGGUAAGAGGUACUACAGGGGUAGGAGUGAAAUCUUGUAAUCCCUGUGGGACCACCUGUGGCGAAGGCGUCUUACCAGAACGGGUUCGACGGUGAGGGACGAAAGCUGGGGGCACGAACCGGAUUAGAUACCCGGGUAGUCCCAGCCGUAAACGAUGCUCGCUAGGUGUCAGGCAUGGCGCGACCGUGUCUGGUGCCGCAGGGAAGCCGUGAAGCGAGCCACCUGGGAAGUACGGCCGCAAGGCUGAAACUUAAAGGAAUUGGCGGGGGAGCACAACAACGGGUGGAGCCUGCGGUUUAAUUGGACUCAACGCCGGACAACUCACCGGGGGCGACAGCAAUAUGUAGGCCAAGCUGAAGACUUUGCCUGAAUCGCUGAGGAGUGGUGCAUGG